Molecule: non-coding RNA, 22 nt
Filed under: Arabidopsis thaliana (thale cress)
Lineage: Eukaryota; Viridiplantae; Streptophyta; Magnoliopsida; Brassicales; Brassicaceae
Source: RNAcentral
UUAACGGUGUAGCAAUAAGUUG